UGCAUCUGCAGCUCAUGAGGAUGAGAACCUCCGGGGCAGGGAGGUUCGACUCGAGCGAAGCGAGAGAACGUUGCGCCAGCAACGGC
RNAcentral lists this small RNA (86 nucleotides) under Escherichia coli. RNAcentral describes it as "partial RtT sRNA". It matches the Rfam family "RtT RNA", at positions 1 to 83 of the family's 130-position model. Rfam says of the family: This family represents a bacterial cis-regulatory element known as RtT RNA. The exact function of RtT is unknown although it is thought that it may be involved in changing the cellular response in relation to amino acid starvation. Lineage: Bacteria; Pseudomonadati; Pseudomonadota; Gammaproteobacteria; Enterobacterales; Enterobacteriaceae. The record is from RNAcentral.